GGGGUCAGAAAAGCACUUGUGUUAAGAGGCAACUGUUUAUCAAGGCCCAAAGUUAUCAAAAUUUGAAAUUUGUAAUUUUAUAAUUUUGUAAACUUUUUUAGUUUAAAUUGCAACAAAACACUAUUUCCUUGUUCAAUCUAGAACUCUUAUUAAUAUUAUAUUAUAUAGGAUAAAAUAUGUUUUUAGUACUUACUUUUAUAGAGUUUUGGUUUUUGUCCAUGUAAAAUAAAUCAUUGUUUUCAUCCCUACUAAAUUUUUUAUUUUGUUCUUAGUCUUUAAUGCGCAAAAUUUUGACAUUUGUUUGAACUUAUAUAUGUUUAACAUGAUAUAUAGACAUAAUAUAUACCAAAAUGUCAUAAUAUUUGCAUUAACAUGUCAAAAUAAUCCAUUAUCUAUCCAAUCCAUCUACCAAAAAAUUUAUCCAAUAUAUUAUAUAGAGAUUUGCUUUUUGGGCCCCCUAAAAUGAC
Molecule: long non-coding RNA, 467 nt
Filed under: Trifolium pratense (red clover)
Lineage: Eukaryota; Viridiplantae; Streptophyta; Magnoliopsida; Fabales; Fabaceae
Description: long non-coding RNA (TPRA_LNC008911)
Source: RNAcentral